Molecule: ribosomal RNA, 371 nt
Filed under: Ganoderma sp. BAB-3650
Lineage: Eukaryota; Fungi; Basidiomycota; Agaricomycetes; Polyporales; Polyporaceae
Description: eukaryotic LSU rRNA
Rfam family: 5.8S ribosomal RNA (bases 1-103)
Source: RNAcentral
UAUGCGAUACUUGGUGUGAAUUGCAGAAUUCAGUGAAUCAUCGAAUCUUUGAACGCACCUUGCGCUCCUUGGUAUUCCGAGGAGCAUGCCUGUUUGAGUGUCAUGAUAUUCUCAACUUGCAAGUUCUAUUGCGGGACUUUGCAUGGUUGGACUUGGAGGCUUGCUGGUGUUCAUGUAAACUCAGCUCCUCUCAAAUGCAUUAGCUUGGUUUCUAGCGGAUCGGCUGUCGGCGUGAUAAUUGUCUACGCUGCGACCGUGAAGUGUUAUGGCAAGCUUAUAGCCGUCUCUAGCAGGGACAUCUAUGAUUGACCUCUGACCUCAAAUCAGGUAGGACUACCCGCUGAACUUAAGCAUAUCAAUAAGCGGAGGAA